GAUUAUGGCUCAGAACGAACGCUGGCGGCGCGUUUAAGCAUGCAAGUCGAGCGGCAGGGGCCUUCGGGCCCCUAGAGCGGCGGACGGGUGAGUAACACGUGGACAAUCUGCCCCCCGGCCCGGGAUAGCCCAGGGAAACCUGGAUUAAUACCGGAUGAGACGGGACCCGCGAUGGCGGGACCCGGGAAAGGCGCUGCGGCGCCGCCGGGGGAUGAGUCUGCGUCCCAUUAGCUAGACGGCGGGGUAACGGCCCACCGUGGCGACGAUGGGUAGCCGGCCUGAGAGGGUGGACGGCCACAUUGGAACUGAGACACGGUCCAGACUCCUACGGGAGGCAGCAGCUAAGAAUCUUCCGCAAUGGGCGAAAGCCUGACGGAGCCGACGCCGCGUGAACGAAGAAGGCCGUGAGGUUGUAAAGUUCUUUUCGGGAGGGGAACAACCGUGGCAGGGAAUGGCCGCGGGAUGACGUGAAUCCCGGAAUAAGCCCCGGCUAACUACGUGCCAGCAGCGGC
RNAcentral lists this ribosomal RNA (512 nucleotides) under uncultured bacterium. RNAcentral's name for it is "bacterial SSU rRNA". It matches the Rfam family "Bacterial small subunit ribosomal RNA", at positions 15 to 518 of the family's 1533-position model. The record is from RNAcentral.